RNAcentral lists this ribosomal RNA (492 nucleotides) under uncultured bacterium. Its description in RNAcentral is "partial 16S ribosomal RNA". It matches the Rfam family "Bacterial small subunit ribosomal RNA", at positions 29 to 507 of the family's 1533-position model. The record is from RNAcentral.
AGUGAACGCUGGCGGCAGGCCUAACACAUGCAAGUCGAACGGCAGCACAGUAAGAGUUUGCUCUUAUGGGUUGCGAGUGGCGGGCGGGUCACGUAUAUAACCGAACCUUCUUUUUCGGGUGGGAUAACGUAGGUAAACCUACUCUAAUAUCGCAUACGAUGUAGGAGUGAAAGCAUUGGAUCUUUGGAGCUUGCGGGGAUGGAUGAGCCGAUGUUGGAUUUGUUAGUUGGCGGGGUAAAUGCCCACCAAGGCGACGAUCCGUAGCUCGUCUGAGUGGAUGGUAGGCCACCCUGGAGCUGGAACGCGGACCAGGCGCCUACGGGAGGGAGCAGUGGCGAAUAUUAGGCAAUAGGCGCAAACCUGAUCCAGCCAUACCGCGUGGGAGGAGAAAACCUUCGGGUUGUAAAGCCCUUUUGUUGGGAGAAAACAGCAGCAGCUUAAUACCAAGCUGUACUGACGGUAACCAGUGAAUAAGCACCGGCUAACUACGUG